UGGGGAAUUUUGGACAAUGGGCGAAAGCCUGAUCCAGCAAUGCCGCGUGUGUGAAGAAGGCCUUCGGGUUGUAAAGCACUUUUGUCCGGAAAGAAAUCCUUGGCUCUAAUACAGUCGGGGGAUGACGGUACCGGAAGAAUAAGCACCGGCUAACUACGUGCCAGCAGCCGCGGUAAUACGUAGGGUGCAAGCGUUAAUCGGAAUUACUGGGCGUAAAGCGUGCGCAGGCGGUUUGCUAAGACCGAUGUGAAAUCCCCGGGCUCAACCUGGGAACUGCAUUGGUGACUGGCAGGCUAGAGUAUGGCAGAGGGGGGUUAGAAUUCCACGUGUAGCAGUGAAAUGCGUAGAGAUGUGGAGGAAUACCGAUGGCGAAGGCAGCCCCCUGGGCCAAUACUGACGCUCAUGCACGAAAGCGUGGGGAGCAAACAGGAUUAGAUACCCCUGGUAGUCCACGCCCUAAACGAUGUCAACUAGUUGUUGGGGAUUCAUUUCCUUAGUAACGUAGCUAACGCGUGAAGUUGACCGCCUGGGGAGUACGGUCGCAAGAUUAAAACUUAAAUGAAUUGACGGGGUCAUAGCUGUUUCCU
RNAcentral lists this ribosomal RNA (587 nucleotides) under uncultured bacterium. Its description in RNAcentral is "partial 16S ribosomal RNA". It matches the Rfam family "Bacterial small subunit ribosomal RNA", at positions 355 to 1375 of the family's 1533-position model. The record is from RNAcentral.